RNAcentral lists this non-coding RNA (21 nucleotides) under Caenorhabditis elegans. Lineage: Eukaryota; Metazoa; Nematoda; Chromadorea; Rhabditida; Rhabditidae. The record is from RNAcentral.
UCAUAAGGAAGCCUGAUUGAA